AAUAUUGGCGCCUUGGCGCAAGUGGAGUCACUCGACCUAUCACACAAUGAGUUGUCCGGUGGAAUCCCUGCCAGCUUAUCAACUCUCACAUCAUUAAGUCGCUUGAACAUGUCCUAUAAUAACCUGACCGGAGAGGUACCAUCUGGAGAUCAACUGCAAACACUUGAAGAUCCAGAAUAUAUUUAUAUUGGCAACCCAGGCCUCUGCGGUCCUCCUCUCUCACAGAAAUGUUCACAACCCGAGUCAAUUCCAGCUACUCCAGAACACCAUGAUGAUUUAAACGAUGUGGCAUCAUUUUUCAUCGCUAUGGGUUCUGGAUAUGUUAUGGGUCUCUGGGUAGUCUUCUGUACCUUCUUAUGCAAGAGGAAAUGGAGAGUUAAGUGGUACCACGUCUGCGACGGUUUGUAUGACCGGGUCUAUGUGCAAGUGGCAGUUACAUGGACUUCUUGGACAAGGAAAAAAUGCGCAGAAGCUGAGAGCGAUCACUAGCUCACGCUGGUUUUCCUUUUGCUAUCACGUAGAGUGUGGGGAUUUUACCAUGUAUCAAUGUAUUUAUAGUAUCGUACUAUACUACUAUUGUUUCAUAAAUAUGUAUUUGAGGAUUAUGCCUUAGAAUAAGGUUUGGGUAUGUAAAGCUGAUGUGUAAUGAAUAAUGCCAGGGGCAGCACUUGAUCCCCUGUUCCGGGUGUGGGACGGAGGGAGUAUAUAUAUAUGUCUUUGCCGUAUCUCUGAAUCCAACCCAUAUCUCUGGUGUCUGUUCAGAUAGGAGUAGAACUAGGAUUUCUGAGAGACAGAAUUUAGUAUGUGAAAGAGUGUCAACCCCAAGGUAAAUUAUUUCACUCGAUGCGCUAUACUAGGUGGGUGCUGACACUAAGAAACAUUGUACAGUUUUCAGACUUGUUCACACAAACUAAUUUUACUGAAAUAAUGCAGAGUCACCAUGUUUGUUCAGAUAGAUAGGACUAGGAUUACUCUCAGAGAGAAUAUAGUUUGUGCAAGAGUGUCAAACACAAUUGAUAUUACAGGGUAGGGUUUUAUUCUUUCAGCUGGACUGCUUAAUUUCUGCAGACAACCCGUAUGACCGACAGACUAGACGCUCUGCGCUGCGCUUGUUUCAAAGAAUGCACUAGAAAAAGAGGAACAAGUAAGCGUACUGGUUGAUUGGUUACCCGGGGUACUUGCCGUUGCAUCAGGUCCAUAGCUUGAAAAACGUUCUUAUAUUGUGGGACAGAGGGAGUAACUGAUUUCUGGUCGUGGUGGUGGCGACAGGCAAAGAAGGCAGGGUGGUGCCUGCAGGACCGCGGUGUGUUGCCUGACGGCGAGUACGUGCACCGUCGGCACACCCUCCCCGUCGCCGUUGCCGCCUUGUCUUCAUCCAUCGUGAGCGCCACCGGAGUCCCCCUUUUUUUUCUCGAUUUCUCAUUUUCUUUCGGACGAAAUAGAUAGUAAUCUUGCUGUUUUGGGUCAGUCCUCGAUGCUUUCUGGCAGGCACGUGUUAUGUAUGACUAUCAAUGGUUUUCCCUUUAACCCCUCGAAAAAAAACUUAGUUCUCAAAAAAAAAAUCAAUGGUUUUCCCUCUUCUCAUAAAAAAAAAAGUCAAUGGUUUUCACUUUCUGUUUCCGAAUACCUCUAAAAAAAACUUUCAGUUUCAGAUAUAGUAGUACAGUCGCAAGUACAGACUAACUUGGCUGAAUGAGCCACAAUUAAGUUUGUGCAAAGAGUCAAACACAAUUAAGUUACAGCAUGAUAGGAUUUAUUAUGUCGAUUGGACAGUUUGAUUUCUUCAAACAAACAAGAUCACUUACACGGUGUUUGAUUUAAUGUACAGAGUCACAGACUAGACACCCAGAGCACUGCGUUUGUUACAGAGGACUAGGGGAGGCACUGGCAGAAGAGGGACAGGUAAGCAAUGUGCUGAGUUGGAGAGUGGACAAGUGAUAUUACAAUGAUAAGAUUUCUCACGGCCAAAAUGUAGUCUGCAGUGGACAAGUGAUAUUACAAUGUACUCCCUGCGUCCCAUUUUAUUACUCCCUCUGAUCCAAAUUAAAUGAUGCAGCUUGUCAUUUAAUUUGGAUCGUAAGGAGUAUGUUGAUUCUUUCUCUCGAUGCACUAUACUUGACUCGGUGUGAUUUCUUCACCUGACAAACAGUGUGCGAGUUCAGACUUCUUCCGACGAACUAAUUUGCCAUAUCUCUGAAUCCAACACAUUAGGUCUGUUCAGAUAGGACUAGGAUUUAUGAGAGACAGAAUUUAGUACUCCCUCUGUUCACUUUUGUAAGGCCUUGAUGACAUUUCAGACAGGGUGCAAAGUAGCUCAUUUUCAAUUAUCUGAAAUGACUUAUAAAAAGAAUGAGGGGGAGAAGAAUCCCUUUCGCUCGCGUCACUCCCGGGGGGGCUCGGGCGGUAACCUAGCCGCCGCCACGCCCGCUCCUCUUUCCUCCUUCGCUCCUCCCGUCGCUGUCGGGGGAUGCCGGCGGGCAAAGCCUGCUAGGCGGACGGCAGCGGCUGGGGCCCCUCGUCGCGCGCCGCGGGGCUUCGGGCCCCGGUCGAAGGCCCGCAUCUGGCGGCGGCCGCGUCUCGUCGACGCGAGCAAGCCGGGGCAGCGGCUAGGUUAAAGGAUAGGAUUUUUAUUAUGUUGAUUUUGGUUUGUUUAAUUUCAUCAGACAAUCCAUAUGACUGGCAGGGUGUUUGCUCUACUGUACAUAGUGACAGAAUCAAGCAUACUACUACUUGGGUGCGACGUAGGAGAGGUGGAAGCUGGGGGCGUCAGGGUCCUCAGCACCGCAGCAGUCGUAGAACCUGGUCAUGUACGGCGUGCCGCCCUCCUUGACCUCCUAGCAAGGUUUUGGUUAUCGAAUGAGGCAAUUUUACCGAGAGGGGCGGGUAAAUGUGGUUACCACGGUUACCGAGAAAUACCAAGAAAUACCGAGAAUAUUUCGAGCGAAUUUUAUAGUUGAAUUUUGAAUUCAAAUAAGUGAACGAAUGAAUAUUCGAACCAGAGACCUCUCAAAACAGGAAUUAGGUUGCUACCAACAUGCCAGAACUAACUCUCAUGGCAUUAAUUAGAUCCUACGUACUUUUACUGUAAAUCGAGUGUUUAAAUUCAAAAAUUUCAAUAAACUGGUAUUUUUUGCUCGGUAUGGCGAUUUACCCAGGGGCACGGAAAUAUGCGGUAACCAUGGGAAAUCUUGAAAUUUCAACCGGUAACCAAAACCUUGCCUCCUAGUACCUGCCGUCCGGUUUCAUUCCUUGUUCGGGCUGCAAGUGAGUGAGUGAAUGACAGUUCAUCAAUCAACGUGGGUUUGUCGUUGUAAAUAGCAGCUUGCUGAAAUUCAGAAUCGAAGUGGUACAUUGCGCACAUGCCAUGGAAAUUGCAUGCUUGACUGAUUGUGUACAUCCAUCGCAAUCGCAAGCACUGAACCGCAAAAGAAAUGGUGAUUUUCUGGUGACCUCAUUCGUUCUGCACAAAUAAUUGGAGAGGAUAUGAUCUGCAUCACUCACCUUGAGGUAUGUAUGUGGUUCUGAUGCUUUCAUUCACUUCCCACAAGAUAUGGCCGGGACGCCCUGCCGUAUACGUCAACGUGAAAGCAACCUUGAUGCCUGGAAUUCCAAGUCAUCAUACCCGGGUCGUCGUUUGCUGUGCACCUCAUUCAGUCAGCAGUCUGAACAUGGAUGGAAUUCCGUCUAGAAUGGACGGCAGUAUCAUUUUCACCUGUAGAAAUUUCUCCUCUAAGCUGUCCUCAAAUUUAUGACACUUCGAGAUUUUCCUUUGUUUUCAGGAGAAAAUGUAACGUAUAUUGUAGAAUAAUAUCCACUGUAUAUAACAAACAAAUGGCGUGUGUAUGCUACAGCAAGAAGAGCGUAGAUCCAUGGAAAAGGCACCGAUGGACAAGCUCCUACUCUCCAAAAUCCACAUAGUGCUACUAGGUGCCCUUCUCUUGCUCAUCAAAGGAAAGGGCUUUGUAGAGUCAUCCUCAUCAUCUUCCCAUCCAAACGACACGGCCACCGGCUGUAUCGCCGAUGAGAGGUCUGCGCUCACUGGCUUCAAAGCAGGCCUCUUGGACCCUGGAAACCUCCUUUCAUCAUGGAAGGGCGAUGACUGCUGCAAAUGGGAGGGCGUUAUUUGCAGCAGCAGAAACAGCCAUGUCGUCGAGCUCGACCUCUGGGGCUUUGGUUGUGACGACUUCCCCAGAGAUGUGAGAUGGAAGGUGCUAGGAGGAAACAUUAGCUCCUCGGUGCUUGGCCUGCGACAUCUACAGUAUCUCGACCUCAGUUGCAAUGGGUUCUAUGGGGUGCAAGUACCUGAGUUCCUGGGUUCUCUCCACAAGUUGAUGUACAUCGACCUGUGGUACUCAAGCUUCAUUGGAAGGAUACCGCCGCAGCUGGGUAAUCUCUCCAACUUACAGUACUUAAGUCUCGCCUAUGGUGCUGGCACAUACUCCAAGGAUAUCACCUGGUUGUCAAAGUUAACUUCCCUUGAGUACCUGGACCUGAGCGGCACAAACCUCAGUACAAUUGUUCACUGGCUUCCGGUUGUGGCCAUGCUUCCAUCUCUGAACGUUCUUUCUCUUAGAAGUUGCGAUCUUAGAACUAGCCCUGCUUCACUUCCACUUUCAAACCUGACAUCUCUUGAAACACUUGACCUUUACUACAAUAGCUUCCCUAGACACAUCACACCCAACUGGUUUUGGGGUUUAACUAGCCUCAAGUAUCUAGAUAUUGGAGGCAAUGGUUUCUAUGGCCAACUUCCGGACGAGAUAGGUAAUCUGACCUACAUAGUAGAGCUUGAUUUAGGAUCAAAUUACCUUGUGGGCAUGAUACCAUCAAACCUGAAGAACCUAUGUAGCUUGGAAAAAUUUGAUGUAAGUAACAACAGCAUGAGUGGAAGCAUAACAGAGUUCUUCCUACGCUUGCCUAGUUGCUCAUGGAAUAAGUUGAAAUACAUGCAUCAACCUUCCAACAAUGUGACAAGAAUCCCACCAACCAAAUUAGAACCCUUAAGCAAUCUGAGGUACCUUUUUAUCGGUAGUAAUAACCUUUCUGGUCAUGUGCCACUAUUGAUAGGAAAGUUCACAAAGUUAAUUAAAUUGGACCUGAGCGACAAUAAACUGGAAGGCUUCAUACAUUUUUUUUAGAAAAGGGGUAUUACCCCGGCCUCUGCAUCCGAAAGAUGCAUACGGCCUAUAAUAAUCUAUCAGGACUAGAAAGCUUGGAGUAUUUGUGGUUGUCUAAUAAUUACUUAACCCUCACAAUGAAUUCCACAUGGGUUCCUCCUUCAAAUCUAACAAAUAUUGCACUUCGGUCAUGCCUUCUCGGGCCUAAAUUUCCAUUGUGGCUAAGAUGGCUAACACGUCUAGACAAUCUUGAUAUCUCAAACACAAGCAUAUCUGACACGGUGCCGGAUUGGUUUUGGACGAUGGCUUCCACAGUGAAAACUCUAAACAUGCGACAUAACAAUAUUAGUGGCUAUUUACCAUCUACAAUGGAAUUUAUGAGAGCAACUGCAAUUGAUCUCAGUUCUAACCAGUUCAAUGGUCCAAUACCUAAGCUUCCCAUUAAUCUGACGGAUUUGUAUCUUAGUGGAAAUAAUUUAGUUGGGCCAUUACCAUUAGACUUCGGAGCACCGAGGCUUGUAACACUCAUUCUAUUUGACAACUCCAUCUCUGGCUCCAUUCCCUCUUCGUUGUGCAAACUGAGAUCACUACUUCUGUUGGACAUGUCCAAAAAUAAGCUAACCGGAACAAUGCCUGAUUGCUCUACAUCCAAAAAAAACAUGAAUAGUCUUAAUAUUCUUAAUCUAAGCCUCGGAAACAACAACCUCUCGGGUGGAUUCCCCUCAUUUCUCCAAUACUGCCAAAAACUCAUUUUUCUUGAUCUUUCACACAACCAUUUCUUUGGGACUUUGCCAACAUGGAUUCAGGAGAAAUUGCCAUAUUUGGCUUUCUUACGGCUGCGAUCAAAUAUGUUUUAUGGUCACAUUCCAGAGGAGCUUACAAAGCUAGUUAAUCUUCAGCAUUUGGAUCUUGCCUACAAUAACUUAACAGGGAGCAUAGCAAAAUCUAUUGUUUACUGCAAAGGGAUGAUAGCAACAAGAGAUGAUUAUAAUUAUGCAGUUUAUAGUGCUCUCGGUUAUGGAUGGUCAAUGGGCCUGAAUGAUUUCACCUAUACCGAGAAUGUCAUGGUAGUCACAAAGGGUCAAGAGAGAUUAUAUACAGGAGAGAUCAUGUAUAUGGUGAAUCUUGAUUUGUCCUGUAAUAACAUUAGUGGUGACAUUCCAGAAGAAAUAGGCACUCUUGUCGAAUUGAAGAACCUGAAUUUAUCAUGGAACACAUUCAGUGGAAAAAUUCCAGAGAACAUUGGUGCCUUGGUGCAAGUUGAGUCACUCGACCUAUCCAACAAUGAGUUGUCUGGUAAAAUCCCUCCAAGCUUAUCAGCUCUUAUGUCAUUAAGUUGGUUGAACCUGUCCUAUAACAACCUGACGGGAGAGGUACCAUCUGGAGAUCAACUUCAAACACUCAAGGAUCCAGAAUAUAUUUACAUUGGUAACUCAGGCCUUUGUGGACCUCCUCUCUCAAAGAAUUGUUCACAACCCAAGCCGAUUACAGCUACUCGAGAACACCAUGACGACGUAACCGAUGUGGUUUCAUUUUUCUUUGCUAUGGGUUCUGGAUACGUAAUGGGCAUCUGGGUAGUCUUCUGCAUCUUCUUGUUCAAGAGGAAAUGGAGAGUUAAUUGGUACUCGGUCUGCGACAGCUUGUAUGAUUGGGUCUAUGUACGAGUGGCCGUUACCUGGGCUUCUUGGACAAGAGAAAAAACUGCAGAAGCCAAGACGGAUCGCUAGAUCACUCUGGUUCUCCGUUUGGUACUAAGCAGAGUGUGGGGAUUUUACCAUGUAUCAAUGUUGUGUAAGUAUUGUACUAGUACAGUUCAAAGAUACAUGUUUGAAGAUUGUGCCGUGUAAACUAAGGUUUGGGUAUGUAAAGUUGAUAUCUAAUGAAAAUAGUGCCAGGGGCAGCAACAAAUUCCCUGUUUCGGGUGUGUGUGUGCGUGUCAAGGCCUGAAUUAACUGGUGUUGAGCAAUUCAUCAGGUGUGUUCAGACAGGAGUAGGAUUUAUGACAGCCAGAGUUUAUGACAGGGUAGGAUUUUACUACGUCGACUCUAUGCUUGUUCACUCGAGAAACACUUCACAGGUUUCAUACUUCGGACAAACCAAUUCGGCUGGAUGCAAACAUGUCAUGUCUGUUCAGCUAGGCAUAUAGUUACCCAGACAUAAUCAAGUUUGUGCAAAUGUCGAACACAAUUACAUAAGUGAUAGAUACUCCCUAUGUCCUCAAUGUCAAAAAUGGUCUUACAUUUUGGGACGGGAGGGAGUACUAUAUUUACGAUAUUAUCACUAUGUUCCCAUGUAUCAUUUGAGUGUGCGGAUUUUCCCAUGUAUCAAUGUUGUUAAAGUAUUGUACUUUUGUGGAUUGUGCUGUAGACUAGGGUUUCGAUAUGUAAAGUUGAUUUGUAUUACUAAUGCCAGGGGUCGCACUAAGUCCCCUGUUCUGGGUGUGUGUGUUAAACUGUCAAUGGCUGAAUUAACGGGUUCCCAAAGUUAUAAGUUGAACACCCGUGCACACACAAAGCUAUAACGGGCUUCAGACAUUUACCGGAGAAAUAUUAUAGUACUUGCCUCAUCUCAUUCUAAGCUCUGAAUCAAAUAGAACUAGAAUUUCUGACGGCCAGAAUUUAGUGUGUGCAAAUUCUAAGCUCUGAAUCAGAUAGCACUAGAUUUCCUGACGGCCAGAAUUUAGUCUGUGCAAAGGGUGUCAAACAAAAGAGGAAAGGAUUUAUUUACCUUUAGGUCGACACACUAUACUGCACUAGAGAAACAUAUUAUUGUACAGGUUUCAGACUUCUUGCAAAAUUAACUGAACGCAAAUGCAGCUUGUCUGUUCAGGUAGGAUUGCUCAAAGCCAGGAUUUUAUUCUGAACCCUGAUAUUACAGGGUGUCGAACACAAGUAAUAUUAGAGGAUAGGAUUUUAUUCUGAACCCUGAUUUCUACACACACAAUCCAGAUGACUGACAGAGUUCAAACUUUCUUUUCAGUUUUCGCACAGGCGGAACACCGCUUUUGUUUCAGAGGAGACGACCAUGACACUGGACUUGUAGACCCAUCACAGGCAGAAGAAUUGAUCUGCAUCACUCAACUUGAUGCUUUCACUUGCUGCGUUCAGACAUAAUUUAUUCACAAGAGAAACAAACAAUGCUCGGGAUUCACAAGUUUUCAGACAAACCAAUUUUGCCUUGUCGUGUACAGUGCCGUGCGCGGGCCGGGGGGGAAACGACGCAUCUGGAAGGCGCUUUCGGUGACACCUUACCAUCCAUUUGAGUCAAAUGAUGCCUCAAUCGCCUGGAAUUCCAAGUCAUCAGAUCAAAGUCGUCGUCCCAUGUUCAGACGUUUCCACACAAACCAAUUUCGCCUCUUCGGGUACUGUGCGGUGCACGGGAAGAACCGACGAGCGCGAGAACGACGGAAUUGGCAACGUGCUUUCCAUCCAUUUGAGUCAAUUCAUGCCUCAAUCGUUUGGAGUCAAGUCAUCAUUCCUGGACUCGUUACUCUUUUCUGUCAAUAUGCUUGGAUACUCUGAAAAUUUAGAAGACACCAACUAUUUUAGUAUGCGGCCAAGCUUUUCUAAUUUGAACCCCCUCCCAACACACACACAAAUUGUAUCGAUAAUAUGAAAUUAUAUUAUUAUGGUUGCCAUUAAUCAUAUUUUAUUAGUAAAGGACAUAAAAAUUUCUAUUUAAAUAUGCAUAUGAAAAGUACUGGUCAAACAUGCAUAUGGGAGAUCAUAUCAACGUCAUAGUUAGGAAUUACCCCCAACCAACAAGCCACAACGGCCGAACUUACAGGCGUACAACGCAAGAAUUGAUCUGAAUCACUCAAUUUGAUGCUUUCACUUUCUGCGUCCAGACACAAGUCGCUCAGAGGAGAAACAAAUAAUGCUCAGGGUUCAGACAUGCCGCGUCCAGACACAAUUUAUUCACCAGAGAAAAAAAUAAUGCCAAGGGUUCAGACGCUUUCACACAAGUAAAUUUUGCCUUUGUUGGUACGGUGCGGUGCAUGGGAAGAAUAGAAGGGGACAAAAACGACGCAUCUGGCAAGGCACUUUUGGUGACACCUUACCAUCAUUUUGAGUCAAUUAAUUGAUGUCUCGGUGGUUUGGAAUUCCAAGUCGUCGUUCCUAUGAUCACUAGUCGGUACUAAUAUGCAGACCAAAUAUAUACUUGCAUAAUCUGAAAAACUAAAAGAUACAAACUCUGUUACUGUGCAGUCAAGCUUUUCUAAAUGUGACUAUAUACUAAUACGCACAGAAAAAUUAGAUUGACAAGAUGAAACAUAUAAUAGCAAGUUUGUCAUGAAUAUAGAAUGUAAAAACUUCUACUUAAAUAUCUAUAAAAAAUAGCGAUCUAAUAUGCAUAUUGGAGGCCAUAUCAACGGGACUCUACGAACGGAAGAAGCAUGUUGUUGCGUCCAUUACUUCCAUCAAUCAGUACUCCAAGAAAAAGAAAGGCAACUUGCUGACCAUGUGAACAGAAUACGAUCUAGAACGGCCACCAGUGUCCUUUUCACCGGUUCAAAUUUCUUCUCCAGGGGUAGUCACAUUUCUGUCAGGUCAGUGUCGCAGGAAUCUCAGCUAUACUAUGCUUAAAGUUUCUCAUUUAUUUUCAAGAGAAAACGAGAUAUAUACCAUGGGAUAAUCUACACUAUAUAUAUCAUGACACGGAGUUUGCAUCCUAUAGCAAAAAGAACAUAGAUCCAUUGAAAAAGCACCAAUGGACAAGGUUCUACUCUCCAUCCACAUAGUGAUAUUUGGUGCACUUCUCUUGUUCAGCAGAGGCAAGAGCUUUGUACAGUCAUCAUCAUCUUCUCACACACAUCCAAACCAUACGGUCACAAGCUGUAAUGCUAGUGAGAGGUCUGCACUUCUCGGCUUCAAAGCAGGCCUCUCGGACCCUGCAUACCUCCUUUCAUCAUGGAAGGGUGAUGAGUGUUGCAAAUGGAAGGGCGUCCACUGCAGCACUAGAAACAGCCAUGUCGUCAAGCUCGAUCUCCCGGGCCAUGGUUGUGACCCCAACAGCGAUGCGUGGACGCAAGUGCUAGGAGGCAACAUCAGCUCCUCUUUGCUUGGUCUACGACAUCUACAGUAUCUUGAUCUUAGCUGCAAUGGGUUCUAUGGGGUGCAAGUGCCGGAGUUCUUGGGUUCUCUCCACAAGUUGAGAUAUGUCGACCUAUCGAGUUUAAGCUUCAUAGGAAGGAUACCACCGCAGCUGGGUAAUCUCUCCAACUUACAAUACUUAAAUCUCAACUCAGAAUAUUUCAAUGCCAUAUACUCUAUGGAUAUCACCUGGUUGUCACAGUUAACUUCCCUUGUGCACCUGGACCUGAGCGGCACGAACCUCAGUACAAUUGUUCACUGGCUUCCGGUGGUGAACAUGCUUCCAUCUCUCAAAGUUCUUCAUCUUAUCAAUUGCAAUCUUAGAACUAGCUCUGCUUCAUUUCAGCUUUCAAAUCUGACUUCUCUCGAAACUCUUGACCUUUCCGCCAAUGGCUUCCAUACACACAUCGCACGCAACUGGUUUUGGGAUUUGACUAGCCUCAAGUAUCUAUAUGUCUCAUCGAAUGGUUUCUAUGGCCAAUUUCCGGACGAGAUUGGUAAUAUGACAUCGAUGGUAAAGCUUGAUUUAUCAUCGAAUAACCUUGUUGGCAUGAUACCGUCAAACCUGAAGAACAUAUGUAGUUUGGAAGAGUUCUUUGUACAUGAAACCAACAUCAAUGGAAGUAUAACAAAAUUCUUCCAGCGUUUGCCUAGUUGUUCAUGGAAUAAGUUGACAUACUUGUCUCUAGCUUCCAGCAACUUGACAGGGAGAUUACCAACCAAACUAGAACCCUUAAACAAUUUGAUCUACCUUGAUAUCAGUCGUAACAAGCUCAUUGGUCCUAUGCCACUCUGGAUAGGAGAGCUCACAAAGCUAACUUACCUAGACCUGGGCUACAACAACUUGGAUGGUUUCAUACAUGAAGGUCAUUUAUCAGGACUAGAAAGCUUGGAGUAUCUGUGGCUCUCUGAUAAUUCCUUAACCCUCACAGUGAAUUCGACAUGGGUUCCUCCUUCAAGUCUAACAAAUAUUGAACUUCAGUCAUGCCUUCUCGGGCCUAAAUUUCCACCAUGGCUUCGAUGGCUAACAAGUCUAGACAAUCUUGAUAUCUCAAACACAAGCAUAUCCGACACGGUUCCAGAUUGGUUUUGGAUAACGGCUUCUACAUUGUACACUCUAAAAAUGGGACAUAACAAAAUUAGUGGUUCUCUUCCAUCUACAAUAGAAUUUAUGGGAGCAACUGCAAUUGAUCUUGGUUCUAACCAGUUCAAUGGCACAAUACCUAAGCUUCCCAUUAGUCUAAGUGACUUGAAUCUUAGUAGAAAUAAAUUAGAUGGACCACUACCACUAGAUUUUGGAACGCCGAAUCUAAUGAAACUAGUUUUAUUUGAUAACUCCAUAUCUGGCACCAUUCCCUCUUCAUUUUGCAAGAUGAGAUCACUAAUACUAUUGGAUAUCUCCGGAAAUAAGCUAAAUGGACCAAUUCCUGAUUGCUCUGCUAAUACAUCCACAACAAACAUGACCAGUAUGAGUAUUCUUAACCUAAGCUUAAGAAACAACAAUCUCUCCGGUGAAUUUCCUUCAUUUCUCCAACACUGCCAAGAACUCGUCUUUCUUGAUCUUCCACACAACCAUUUCGUUGGAACUUUGCCAACAUGGAUUCGGGAGAAAUUGCCACGGUUGGCUUUCUUACGACUACGAUCGAACAUGUUCUGUGGUCACAUUCCAGAGGAGCUGAUGAAGCUAGUCAAGCUUCAGUAUUUGGACCUUGCCUACAAUAAUAUAACUGGUAGCAUACCAAAAUCUAUUGUUAACUGCAAAGGGAUGAUAGAAACAAGAGAUAAUUAUGAUGAUGGUGGUGACGCAUUACAUCAUGCUUUUGGCUUCAAUGAUGAAUGGGAACAUGGCCCUAAUGAAUUGGUCACCUAUACCGAGAAUUUCACGGUUGUCACAAAGGGUCAAGAGAGAGAUUAUAUACAGGAGAGGUCAUAUACAUGGUGAACCUUGAUUUAUCAUGUAAUAAUCUUAUUGGUGAUAUUCCCAAAGAUAUCAGCGCUCUUGUCAAAUUGAAGAGCCUGAACCUAUCAUGGAACAUCUUCAGUGGAAAAAUUCCGGAAAAUAUUGGCGCCUUGGCGCAAGUGGAGUCACUCGACCUAUCAUACAAUGAGUUGUCUGGUGAAAUCCCUCCAAGCUUAUCGGCUCUUACGUCAUUAAGUCGGUUGAACCUGUCCUACAACAACCUGACAGGAGAGGUAACAUCCGGUAAUCAACUGCAAACGCUUGAGGACCCUGAGUAUAUUUAUAUUGGCAACCCGGGCCUCUGCGGUCCUUGUCUGCCACAGAAAUGUUCACAGCCGAAGCCGAUUCAAGCUACUCGAGAACACCAUGAAGAUUUGAAUGAUGUGGCAUCGGUUUUCAUCGCUAUGGGUUCUGGAUAUGUAAUGGGUAUCUGGGUGGUCUUCUGCACCUUCCUGUUCAAGAGGAAAUGGACAGUUUAUUGGUACUCGGUUUGCGACAGCUUGUAUGACCGGGUCUAUGUGCAAGUGGUUCUAACCUGGGCUUCCUGGACAAGAGAAAAAGGCGCAGAAGCUGAGACCAAUCAUUAGCUCGCUUUGGUUCUCUCCAUUUGCUAUCAUUUGAGUGUGCGGAUUUUACCAUGUAUCAAUGUUGUUACAGUAUUGUACUCAUACACAUAUUUGUGGAUUGUGUUGUAGACUAGGGUUUGGAUAUAUGUAAAGUUGAUUUGUAAUUAAUAAUGCCAGGGGCCACACCAAGACCCCUGUUCCGGGUGUGUGUUUGUCAAUGACUGAAUUAACCGGGUGUCCAAAGUUAUAAGUUGAACACCCGUGCACACACAAAGCAAGACUCGAUUCUUCCCCUCGAUACACUAUACUGGGCGCCGGUGCAGUUUCUUCGCUAGAGAAACUAUAUUGGGCGCAGAUGCAGUUUCUGUAGAAAAUAUAGGAUGGAUGAAUAUUGUGUUGUUGUAUGUUGUAUUGAUCUAACCCUCGUAGGGGUAUAUAUAGAAGUACAAUAGGGGGAGAGACUUGGAGUACAAUGCAAGACAUUGUUUAAACCUAUCUUAUCUCUAGUUACGCUUAUCUCUACACAAUUAUAUUUCUAACAUCCCCCCUCAGUCGUAGCGGGAGUGAAGCGGACGAUUGCGACUGAAUUUGAAGUCUUGUGAUUCUGUCUUCUUCUCCGAUGCACCAUCAUCAACUGCGUCUCUGAUGGCUGAUGGGUCGGCACCUAGGGCGGUGACUGCGUCCCCUUCUGGUGCCUUCCCUGUCUUCUCCUCUAUUCCCUCCCGCAGUCACAGCAGGAGUAUCGUGACGCAUGUGACGAAGCGGACGCUGUUGACUGGAGUUGUUGCCGAUGAGUUGCUGCAGACGUAGUCAUUAAUGUCGAGGUAGUCGUGGUCGAUGGUGUAGUCGUCGUGGAUGAUGAAGCCGCAUAAAGCCGGAGGCGCAAAAAAAUGCGCUAUGACGGAGCUGCAGACAUGGACGAUGCACCUUGCGGAUGUCAGAGGGUGCCGUCGGCGAUGAGUCCAUCGGUUUUGCCAAGACCAAAGAAAGCCCAUCGAGCACACAUCGGUUUUGCCAGAACCGUGUGGCCGUGUAGGGUCGUCACUGUAGUGACGCCGUGUCGAUGCAGUCGUGACGUCGUGAAUGACACGGUCGAUGCCGUCGUCGUGACGCGGUCAUUGCCGUCGUCAAGGUCGCGUCUUGCAGAAAAGUCUGUCAGAGACGCUAGGUGUCCAUCUUGUGGACGAGGCGGCGGCAGUGUGUUGACGAUGAUGGUGACGAAGACUACGUUGAUGAAGACCUUGGCGAUGAAGUGUCGACGAUGCAGCGGCAUGUAGACGAUGAUGUGUCGCUUGUCGAUGCCGUGUCGUGCUGAAGAAGCAUGUUGGCGUAGUCGUACAGCCGUUCAGGGUCGUGGAAUAUUGAUGCAGAUCGCUCGGUGUAGAUCGAUGUGUCGGCCUGGUGUAGACGGCAUGAUGGCGCACGAGUGGUCGUCAGGUUGAUGGAGUCAGGAGUCGACUUGGUGGAGACCGCGUCCGUGCGCGUGCCUUGAAGUCGAAAACCUGCUGGCCCUCUCGGUGUCCGGCGCCGCGAGCCUGCUCGAUGAAGAUGUCGACGUGCGGCUAGGUGCUGUUUGUCGUCGGCCAGAUCAGAUCGCGAUGAUGAUUGUUCCCACCCGCGCAUGGAUCGCAGAGACCCGCAUGGCGUUGCCUUUCGAUCGUUGCAGAAGGCCCGUGGCUGAAGACUGAAGUCCAAGGCUCCAUCCAGUGCACGUACGCAUGGGCGUCUUGGUGAGUUUCUUCAUAAAUUGCUGCUGCCGGUCCAAGCGAAUUUCCUCCGUUUUGCAUGAUUUCAGUGACUUCCAUGCAAUCACCUUCUACACAUAUCUUGUUGCAUCCAGUUUCACUUGCGAGGAGAAGUCCAUCUCUUAAGCCUCGUGCUUCCGCCGUAGCCGCUUCUUCAACAAAAGGAAUAUUGCUGCAAGAUGCCGCCACAAAUAAACCGGAGUGGUCUCGAAGUAUAGCACCUGUAGCGCCAGUGCCACUGUCAAUGUCGAAACUCGCGUCCACAUUCAGCUUGAUUGUGCCCUCUGGUGGUUUCUCCCAGCCAUGUCUCCUAAUUCUGUUGUGCUUGAAUUUCGCUCUUGAGUAAUUUUUUGCGAGUGCCGAUAUUGCUUGCGCCGAUCUGGUUGGCUCGUACAGUUGCUCGCCGUGUGUAUAUCUGCGUCGUUCCCACCACAAGUACCACACAGCCGUGGCAACAAGGUCAUUACGGUGAACAUCAUUAACCAAUGACUUAGUUGGAUUCUUGGACAAUAGGAGGUCAGCCAUCACCGAGCCACCCUCUCUUUCCACCAUGCACACCUCAUUCACCACCGCUGCCAUACCUAGCAAACGCCACACCUCCUGUACUCGAGGGCACAAGAUAAAGCAUGUCGGAUGCUUUCACAAUCUGAACUGCAUAAGGGGCAUUGAGAACUCGAAACUAUAUGUCUGUUCGCUAAGACUCCUUGGCAUGGAAGAGCUCCAAGCAAAGUUUUCCACACAUGAAUUUUCACUUUUAAAGGCACACGUAGUUUCCAAAUGGUCCUCCAAACUGGACUAGUACUUGAGGCUUGUAUCGAAUUUGUCAUCCUCAACUUUCGUCCGUGUUGGUGUUCCCAUUCUUCAUGAUACGCUGACCUCACCGUAAAAUUUCCGCUUCUGUUAAAAUGCCAAGAAACAAAAUCAUCCAUCAUCCCUAAAGCCAAAGGAAUGUUGAGGAUACGUUGUGCAUCAAUUGGUCAAAAUAGAUCAUUAAUUAAUUGUUCAUCCCAAGCUCUAUUAUCCACAUCGAUGAGUUCCGACACCUUGGUAAUUACAAUGUUCGCCCUUGGUGUCAUGACUUUCCGAGUGGGGCUGCUUGGUACCCAAGAGUCCUCCCAUAUAUUUAUUUGAGACCCAUCUCCUACUCUUCAUAUAUGACCUCUCUUGAAGGUCUGAAUACCACCCCAAAUGCUCUGCCAGGUGUAAGAGCUGCCCUUCUUUAAGCUGCACGUAAGGAGGUUGCCCCCGGAAAAUAUUUUGCUCUUAAAAUUCUGGCACAUAACGAAUCUGGCUCACUCAAGAGCCUCCAACAUUGCUUUGCGAGAAGGGCCAAAUUAAAACAGUGUAGAUCACGGAAUCCCAUACCACCCAUCUCUUUAGGUACACACAUUUUCCACCAAGCAAACCAGUGCACGUGUUGUUUCAAGUCAUCAUCUCCCCACCAGUAUUUAGACAUAGCUGUAGUAAUCGCAUUGCAUACCUGCUUUGGUAAUUUAAACACGGACAUGGCAUACGAGGGAAUGGCCUGAAUAACUGCCUUUAACAAGACCUCUCUUCCUCCAUAGGAUAAUAGCUUUUCCUUCCAUCCUCUGAUCCUACAGAGCACUCUAUCAAUGAGAUGUUGAAAACAAUCAGAACGGUCUACUCCCACAAUGGGCGGAAGGCCCAAGUAUUUAUCCGUGAUCGCUUCUGCCAUUAUGUUUAGGGUGGUGCACACCUCCACCCUAGUCUCCACAGGUGUACAAGGGCUAAAAAAUAUGCUAGAUUUAGCAUCACUAACCAACUGCCCUGAAGCCAUGCAAUAAUCAUCCAGGGCUCUUCGAAGACUAGUUGCAUUGGCAGCAUCUGCUCGCAUGAGAAUUAGUGAAUCGUCAGCAAAAAGAAGAUGUGACACUGAGGGAGCAUCUCUGCACACCUUAACUCCCAAUAAGUUCCCGGACUCCUCCUCAUGCAUGAUCAAGCUAGAAAGGCCCUCCGCACAUAGCAAGAAUAGGUAUGGUGAGAGGGGGUCUCCCUGCCUGAGGCCCCUAGAUGGAACAAAAUAAUCGGUCAACACAUUAUUAACCCGUACCUGAUAUGUGACGGACCUCACACACUCCAUAAUCAGGUCCACCCAGAGUGGCGUGAAGCCCAAACGUAGAAGGAUGAGCUGUAAGAAAUUCCACUCCACCCUAUCAUACGCCUUGUGCAUGUCAAGCUUCACCGCACAUGUACCAUAUUUGCCCAUAGUUUUUUUCUUGAUCGCAUGAUAUGAUUCAAAGGCAACCAGAAAAUUAUCAGUAAUGAGACGCCCCGGAACAAAUGCACUUUGGUUUGGCGAGAUUAUCUCCGUCAAGAUAAAUUUCAGACGGUUAGCCAGAAGUUUGGAAAUCACCUUGUAUACCACAUUGCACAAACUAAUUGGCCGGAAUUGAGUUAUAAGUGUUGGAUUUUCAACCUUCGGAAUUAGGACAAUGGUGGUGUUGUUCCAUCCUUCUGGGAUCUUCCUUGAGUUAACAGCAAUGAGCACUUCAUCAGUCAAAUCCUCACCUAUGAUAUGCCAAAACCUCUUAUAAAAAACUGCAUGUAAACCAUCCGGGCCUGGAGCUUUUAAAUCGCCAAUGUUAAACAUGGCCUUUUUCACCUCCUCACGUGUGUAUGCCCUAGUCAACUCUUCAUUCAUGGCUGCUGUAACUCGUGGUUUCACUUUGUUAAUUACAUUCAAAUUCGGAGCUUGCUGACCUGAAGUAAAAAGAGAGGAAAAAUAAGUCGCUGCAUACGCUCUAAUAUCCUCCUGAUCAUCUAUCCAAUCAUCAUUCUCUCGUUGUAUACGUUUGAUGUAAUUUUUCUUCCGACGACCAUUAGCAGCCCUGUGAAAAAAUUCUGAAUUCCGGUCUCCUCGAGUGAGCCAGUCUGCUCUACCCCGUUGGAGCCAAUAUAUUUCCUCCUGUUCCAGAAGCUUCUCAAUUUGCAUAUGUAAAUCAUGCUGCCUAACCACGGCCUCAUCAGACAAAGGGCCAGAAAGAACUUCGUUCAAUUCCUUCUGAAGCUCUCGGAGUUUAUUGCGGGGCCCCUUGAGGACGUCCUUAUCCCAGCGGUGCAACGCCCUGUGAACCUCAGCCGUGCUGUCCGCUAGUGGAACAACACCAAUCUGCUUACAUUUAUCCCAAGCCGUUUGGACUACAGUUUGAAUAUCUUCCUCUGCUAACCACCGUGCCUCAAAUUUGCGUGUUCCGGAAGGACCCCUAGGCUGGAUCGCCGGUUGGUAAUCAGUAUCAAUCAAAACUGGACGAUGGUCUGACUUAUAUCAAAGUCCUCAUUAAACACGACAAACCCUGGGAACAAGUCUGCCCACAACAUAUUUCCCACUGCGCGGUCCAAACGCUCGCGUAA
RNAcentral lists this long non-coding RNA (17850 nucleotides) under Triticum aestivum (bread wheat). Its description in RNAcentral is "long non-coding RNA (TAES_LNC008244)". Lineage: Eukaryota; Viridiplantae; Streptophyta; Magnoliopsida; Poales; Poaceae. The record is from RNAcentral.